Molecule: ribosomal RNA, 562 nt
Filed under: Hippocampus denise
Lineage: Eukaryota; Metazoa; Chordata; Actinopteri; Syngnathiformes; Syngnathidae
Description: partial 16S ribosomal RNA
Rfam family: Bacterial large subunit ribosomal RNA
Source: RNAcentral
CGCCUCUUGCUAAACAAGAAUAAGAGGUCCCGCCUGCCCUGUGACUUAAUGUUUAACGGCCGCGGUAUUUUGACCGUGCAAAGGUAGCGCAAUCACUUGUCUUUUAAAUAAAGACCUGUAUGAAUGGCAUAACGAGGGCUAAACUGUCUCCUUAACUUUAUCAAUGAAAUUGAUCUCCCCGUGCAGAAGCGGGGAUUAUUACAUAAGACGAGAAGACCCUGUGGAGCUUUAAGCAAAAUUGAAUUAUUAAAAGAUAUAUUAAAGUAUAUAAAUAAAAUAAAAAUCAUAUAUGCUUUUAGUUGGGGCGACCACGGAGUACUAAAAAACCUCCAUGAGGAUUGAGAAAAUCCCUUAAAACUAAGAAAAACACUUCAAAGUAUUAAAAUAUUUAACCUAAAGAUCCGGUAACACCGAUUAACGAAACUAGUUACCCCAGGGAUAACAGCGCAAUCCUUUUUAAGAGCCCAUAUCGACAAAAGGGUUUACGACCUCGAUGUUGGAUCAGGAUACCCCAAUGGUGUAGCAGCUAUUAAAGGUUUGUUUGUUCAACAAUUAAAAUCCU